UACGGAGGGUGCGAGCGUUGUCCGGAAUCACUGGGCGUAAAGGGCGCGUAGGCGGCCUGAUAAGUAGGGGGUGAAAUCCUGCGGCUUAACCGCAGGGCUGCCUUCUAAACUGUCAGGCUCGAGCACAGUAGAGGCAGGUGGAAUUCCUGGUGUAGCGGUGGAAUGCGUAGAGAUCGGGAAGAACAUCAGUGGCGAAGGCGGCCUGCUGGGCUGUUGCUGACGCUGAGGCGCGACAGCGUGGGGAGCAAACAGG
Molecule: ribosomal RNA, 253 nt
Filed under: uncultured bacterium
Lineage: Bacteria
Description: partial 16S ribosomal RNA
Rfam family: Bacterial small subunit ribosomal RNA
Source: RNAcentral